This 250-nucleotide ribosomal RNA is filed under the name uncultured bacterium. RNAcentral's name for it is "partial 16S ribosomal RNA". It matches the Rfam family "Bacterial small subunit ribosomal RNA", at positions 15 to 258 of the family's 1533-position model. The record is from RNAcentral.
GAUCCUGGCUCAGGAUGAACGCUAGCGGCAGGCUCAACACAUGCAAGUCGGAGGGGCAGCAUAAUGGUAGCAAUACUAUUGAUGGCGACCGGCGGACGGGUGCGUAACGCGUAUGCAACCUACCCUUUACAGGGGGAUAACACUGAGAAAUCGGUACUAAUACCCCAUAAUAUUCCGGGAGGCAUCUUUCGGAGUUGAAAGCUUUGGUGGUAAAGGAUGGGCAUGCGUUGUAUUAGCUAGUUGGUAAAGG